UGCAAUGAUGGUGUAAUUUGCGUCUUACCUGGUAUUUGGCGACAGUUGCCUACUGUCACAAAGCUAAUACUGUGGGGUGACGACACUUCGAGUCUGAGCG
This 100-nucleotide small nucleolar RNA is filed under the name Leptobrachium leishanense (Leishan spiny toad). RNAcentral's name for it is "Small nucleolar RNA SNORD16 (ENSLLEG00000008247.1)". It matches the Rfam family "Small nucleolar RNA SNORD16". From Rfam's summary of the family: U16 is a member of the C/D class of snoRNA which contain the C (UGAUGA) and D (CUGA) box motifs. U81 acts as a guanine methylation guide and is found in an intron of ribosomal proteins L1 gene in animals. The record is from Rfam by way of RNAcentral. Lineage: Eukaryota; Metazoa; Chordata; Amphibia; Anura; Megophryidae.